This 299-nucleotide unclassified non-coding RNA is filed under the name plant metagenome. RNAcentral's name for it is "partial contains 5.8S ribosomal RNA, internal transcribed spacer 2, and large subunit ribosomal RNA". The stretch from base 1 to 105 matches the Rfam family "5.8S ribosomal RNA", at positions 50 to 154 of the family's 154-position model. The record is from RNAcentral.
GAAAUGCGAUAAGUAAUGUGAAUUGCAGAAUUCAGUGAAUCAUCGAAUCUUUGAACGCACAUUGCGCCCCCUGGUAUUCCGGGGGGCAUGCCUGUUCGAGCGUCAUUUCACCACUCAAGCCUCGCUUGGUAUUGGGCGACGCGGUCCGCCGCGCGCCUCAAAUCGACCGGCUGGGUCUUCCGUCCCCUCAGCGUUGUGGAAACUAUUCGCUAAAGGGUGCCGCGGGAGGUCACGCCGCAAAACAACCCCAUUUCUAAGGUUGACCUCGGAUCAGGUAGGGAUAUCCGCUGAACUUAAGC